GGGGGUUAUAGUUUAAUCUCCUAGAAUAU
RNAcentral lists this transfer RNA (29 nucleotides) under Collyriclum faba. RNAcentral's name for it is "partial tRNA-Thr". The record is from RNAcentral. Lineage: Eukaryota; Metazoa; Platyhelminthes; Trematoda; Plagiorchiida; Collyriclidae.